CAACUCCAAUGACAUGACAAAAAACAACGCACCACGACGGAACAGGAACAGCCGAUCUCUAUCUCAUCCUAACCAAAUUCUCAACUCCCAGAGGACACAACCAAUAGGAGGAUAAAUGGUACAGAAGAAGCAACGAACAAGAGGAACCUUUCUGCCAGAUACAGAAUCGCCAUAGACUGCACCUUUCUGCAACCUAGAAGCAUUGCAAAGGAAAACAAAGAGAGAGAGAAAACAUAGAAGCAUCUCAGAUGGUUUCAGCAGCAGCACAUGAGCUGUCUCCUUGCACUGAGCUCAGGUAGCUGGUUGCCUGCAGCGAAAAUUAACAGCCA
Molecule: long non-coding RNA, 329 nt
Filed under: Setaria viridis
Lineage: Eukaryota; Viridiplantae; Streptophyta; Magnoliopsida; Poales; Poaceae
Description: long non-coding RNA (SVIR_LNC010849)
Source: RNAcentral